This 446-nucleotide ribosomal RNA is filed under the name uncultured bacterium. RNAcentral describes it as "partial 16S ribosomal RNA". It matches the Rfam family "Bacterial small subunit ribosomal RNA", at positions 338 to 795 of the family's 1533-position model. The record is from RNAcentral.
CCUACGGGAGGCAGCAGUCGAGAAUCAUUCACAAUGGGGGAAACCCUGAUGGUGCGACGCCGCGUGGGGGAAUGAAGGUCUUCGGAUUGUAAACCCCUGUCAUGUGGGAGCAAAUUAAAAAGAUAGUACCACAAGAGGAAGAGACGGCUAACUCUGUUCCAGUAGCCGCGGUAAUACAGAGGUCUCAAGCGUUGUUCGGAUUCACUGGGCGUAAAGGGUGCGUAGGCUGUUUCGUAAGUCGUGUGUGAAAGGCGCGGGCCCAACCCGCGGACGGCACAUGAUACUGCGAGACUAGAGUAAGGGAGGGGGAAGCGGAAUGCUCGGUGUAGCAGUGAAAUGCGUAGAUAUCGAGAGGAACACUGGUGGCGAAGGCGGGUUCCUGGACAUUAACUGACGCUGAGGCACGAAGGCCAGGGGAGCGAAAGGGAUUAGAUACCCGGGUAGUC